This 254-nucleotide ribosomal RNA is filed under the name uncultured bacterium. RNAcentral describes it as "partial 16S ribosomal RNA". It matches the Rfam family "Bacterial small subunit ribosomal RNA", at positions 524 to 776 of the family's 1533-position model. The record is from RNAcentral.
UACGGGGGGGGGCAAGCGUUGUUCGGAAUUACUGGGCGUAAAGGGUGCGUAGGCGGCGGAGUAAGUUGGGUGUGAAAUCCCGGGGCUUAACCUCGGAAUUGCAUUCAAUACUGCUUCGCUCGAGUACUGGAGAGGAGGCUGGAAUUUACGGUGUAGCAGUGAAAUGCGUAGAUAUCGUAAGGAAGGCCGGUGGCGAAAGCGAGCCUCUGGACAGUUACUGACGCUGAUGCACGAAGGCCAGGGGAGCAAACGGG